AGCGAACGCUGGCGGCAGGCCUAACACAUGCCAGUCGAACGAACUCUUCGGAGUUAGUGGCGGACGGGUGAGUAACACGUGGGAACGUGCCUUUUGGUUCGGAAUAACUCAGGGAAACUUGUGCUAAUACCGAAUGUGCCCUUCGGGGGAAAGAUUUAUCGCCAUUAGAGCGGCCCGCGUCUGAUUAGCUAGUUGGUGAGGUAACGGCUCACCAAGGCGACGAUCAGUAGCUGGUCUGAGAGGAUGACCAGCCACACUGGGACUGAGACACGGCCCAGACUCCUACGGGAGGCAGCAGUAGGGAAUCUUGCGGAAUGGGCGAAAGCCUGACGCAGCCAUGCCGCGUGAAUGAUGAAGGUCUUAGGAUUGUAAAAUUCUUUCACCGGGGACGAUAAUGACGGUACCCGGAGAAGAAGCCCCGGCUAACUUCGUG
This 433-nucleotide ribosomal RNA is filed under the name uncultured bacterium. Its description in RNAcentral is "partial 16S ribosomal RNA". It matches the Rfam family "Bacterial small subunit ribosomal RNA", at positions 29 to 507 of the family's 1533-position model. The record is from RNAcentral.